UACAGAGGGGGCAAGCGUUGUUCGGAAUUACUGGGCGUAAAGGGCGCGUAGGCGGCCUGCUAAGUUGGAUGUGAAAACUCUGGGCUCAACCCAGAGCCUGCAUUCAAUACUGACGGGCUAGAGUACUGGAGGGGAAAGCGGAAUUCCUGGUGUAGCGGUGAAAUGCGUAGAUAUCAGGAGGAACACCGGUGGCGAAGGCGGCUUUCUGGACAGUAACUGACGCUGAGGCGCGAAAGCUAGGGGAGCAAACAGG
This 253-nucleotide ribosomal RNA is filed under the name uncultured bacterium. RNAcentral describes it as "partial 16S ribosomal RNA". It matches the Rfam family "Bacterial small subunit ribosomal RNA", at positions 524 to 776 of the family's 1533-position model. The record is from RNAcentral.